RNAcentral lists this long non-coding RNA (530 nucleotides) under Mytilus galloprovincialis (Mediterranean mussel). Lineage: Eukaryota; Metazoa; Mollusca; Bivalvia; Mytilida; Mytilidae. The record is from RNAcentral.
AAAAGUCAAUGCCAUGCUGGAAUGAUGCAUGCGCUUAAGAAUAAAUUUUAUAGCAAAUCCGUUUAAAACCGGUCACUCAUUGAUACUAAAAUUUUAUGUGUUCACCCCAUUCUAGUAAACAAUAUAUGCUAUAAAUGAAAUCCACUACUAGAUUUGAAAAUUAACUAUAUAUAAACAAUUUAAAAGACCCCGCUAAUCAUCAAACAGUCGGUAUUUGUUCCAAAUAUAAUACCUAGUGUGGACAAUGUGUUACAUUUUUUCAUACACAUUUUCAAUUUAUUACUUACUGUUUUAUGCCUCAAAUAGAAAGGAGGGAGAUGAUAUUACACUGUAAAAAAAAUACUGUAUGGAUUAAGUUAAGUAGUGAUUGGUCCAGGUGAAAAUGUAAAUAUUUAGUAUUUCUUAAUCUGUCAAACUGAAUUCAUUCUUAACUUGAAAUUGUCCAUAUUUUUAGUAAGAGCUAUUAAAAUAGGAUUUGUCCCAAAAUUCACUGCAAAAUUAUAUAAACGUGUUCUCGGUUCAUAUCAAUA